RNAcentral lists this ribosomal RNA (635 nucleotides) under uncultured bacterium. RNAcentral's name for it is "bacterial SSU rRNA". It matches the Rfam family "Bacterial small subunit ribosomal RNA", at positions 607 to 1244 of the family's 1533-position model. The record is from RNAcentral.
GCUUAACCAAGGAAAAGCUUCGAAAACUGUGAAACUUUAGUGCGCAAUAGAAAAGUGGAACUCCCUGUGUGUAGGGGGAAUGCGUAUAUAUAUGGAAAAACACCCCUGGGGAAGGCGGCUUUCCGGUCUGUAACUGACGCUGAGAUUCGAAAGCAUGGGUAGCAAACAGGAUUAUAUACCCUGGUAGUCCCUGCCGCCAACGAUGAGUGCUGCUUGUUGGAGGGUUUCCGCCCUUCUUCGCUGCUGCUAACGCCUUAAGCACUCCUCCUGGGGAGUACGAUCACCAGAUUGAAACUCAAAGGAAUUGACGGGGGCCCGCACCAGCGGUGGAGCAUGGGGGUUAAUUCUUCCAACCCGAAGAACCUUACCUAGUCUUGACUUACCUUGUCAAGCUAACAUAUUAAUCUUUCCCUUCCUGGACAUGGAUACAGGCGGGGCAUGGUUGUCCUCCCUCGUGUCGUGAGAUGUUAUGUUAAGUCCCGCAACGAGCGCAACCCUUAUUAUCAUAUACCAUCAUUCAGUUCGGCACUCUGGUCAGACUGCCACUGGACAAACCGGAGGAAGGUGGGGACGACGUCAAUCCUCAUGCCCCUUAUGACCUGGGCUACACACGUGCUACUAUGGCCGGUACAACG